ACAAAAGACUUCUUCAAUGAGUGUCAUGUGUGGGGCAACUUGCUGUACACGUGGAAUUGACAUCAAGAGAUUUCAGAAGCAUAAUAUUUUGGCAGUCGGUAACUAGUGAUCGUUGGUCCCAACAUCCCA
This is a small nuclear RNA of Sorex fumeus (smoky shrew), 129 nucleotides long. RefSeq annotates it as U11 spliceosomal RNA. NCBI's taxonomy places the organism in Eukaryota, Metazoa, Chordata, Mammalia, Eulipotyphla, Soricidae. The transcript has a single exon. The record is from RefSeq and is a predicted model, not a curated record.